This 505-nucleotide ribosomal RNA is filed under the name uncultured bacterium. Its description in RNAcentral is "partial 16S ribosomal RNA". It matches the Rfam family "Bacterial small subunit ribosomal RNA", at positions 28 to 507 of the family's 1533-position model. The record is from RNAcentral.
GACGAACGCUGGCGGCGUGCCUAAUACAUGCAAGUCGAACGCACAGUUUAUACCGUAGCUUGCUACACCAUAAACUGUGAGUUGCGAACGGGUGAGUAACGCGUAGGUAACCUGCCUGGUAGCGGGGGAUAACUAUUGGAAACGAUAGCUAAUACCGCAUAAUAUUAAUUAUUGCAUGAUAAUUGAUUGAAAGAUGCAAUUGCAUCACUACCAGAUGGACCUGCGUUGUAUUAGCUAGUAGGUGAGGUAACGGCUCACCUAGGCGACGAGACAUAGCCGACCUGAGAGGGUGAUCGGCCACACUGGGACUGAGACACGGCCCAGACUCCUACGGGAGGCAGCAGUAAGGAAUCUUCGGCAAUGGACGAAAGUCUGACCGAGCAACGCCGCGUGAGUGAAGAAGGUUUUCGGAUCGUAAAGCUCUGUUGUAAGAGAAGAACGGGUGUGAGAGUGGAAAGUUCACACUGUGACGGUAUCUUACCAGAAAGGGACGGCUAACUACGUG